Molecule: long non-coding RNA, 1847 nt
Organism: Betta splendens (Siamese fighting fish)
Lineage: Eukaryota; Metazoa; Chordata; Actinopteri; Anabantiformes; Osphronemidae
Exons: 3
Source: RefSeq, a predicted model, not a curated record
AUUUUUGAUGCUGCCUUCACGGGACGACGCGAGUAUCGUAAUAAUGACCACUAAGCCCAGCAAACCACGUCGUUCAAUCUGUUUAUUAUUAUUACGUUGUUUUAUUGCGCUUGUAACUGCUAUUUUAUUUUAAGAAAACAUGUUUUGUUAUACAAUGGCUAAUUCCCUUUUAAUGUUUUAGAUUUGUUAAUAGUAGGCGGGAAGUUUACGACAAGUACGUGAAGGCACCACUGCAGAGGACGUGCUCUGGAGAAACUGAAUGAAAGCUGCUUUAAAGUGUUUCUAUAGAUAGACUCGACGUUAACAAGUGUUUUUACUUCAUUUUAUUGAUUUGUUUGCUUUGAAUCCAUAAAUAUAAAUGUAGAACACGCAUUCAUGCCUGGGCUGGACGCUGUUAGUGUAAAAACAUGCCGUAUGUGCUGCAGUGAUUUUAACUCUGCCGUGUAGUGCAGCUCCAGAGGAUGGUUAACGCUUGGUGUAGGCAGCAGGACGGAGAAUAACACAAGAGCUGCCCCUCCAAGAUCUACAUAAAGGGUCUUUCGGAACCACUCAACUUGAGAAUGUUGCCUGCACACGGCCUCUCCAACAAUUCUGACACAUCCCAACUAAAUUCGGUUUUUGGUCAUUUCAACAAAUGUGAAAGUACAGACUUUGAAAGGGGAGUUUACAUUUGGACUUUUUGUGGACUGGUGGGUUUUAUCUUUGGCUUUCCCGCAGCUCUUACUAUCGUCUUGGAGAUGUUUAAAAUGUGGAAAAGAGGAGCUCCCAUAACACCAAACAACUUUUUCAUACUGAAUCUCUCCAUCAUGGAUGCAUUGUUCCUGUUCUUUAUCCCACUUGAAAUAGUAAAUAGUUAUAUCCUGACGUCUUGGGACUUUGAAAGUGUAUGUAGUGGUUUUUAUGCCUUGAACCAUACUGGGAGACCCUUCCUGAUGGCCUGCAUCUGUUUGGACUGUUAUUUUGCUGUAGUUCAUCCAAUUGCCUACCACAAGAGGAAGAGUCUAACUCCAAGGGUUGUGAUGGCGGGAAUGGUUUGGAUUGUGACGGUCGCCAUUGGGUGCCUUUACACCGUUUCUUUUUACAUAUACUUUUCCAUAUUUUCCUUUGUGCCCUUUUUCAUAUCAAUAAUAAUAAUUGGAAUCUGUGAUUCUUUGAUCCUUUUUAAAUUAUUCCAAUCCCACCACAGGGAAACCAUCCACCCACAGAAGCAAAGGGCCAUUCACAUCCUCAUCAACAGCCUGGUGAUGACAGUCGUCUCUUAUCUUCCUUCAGCUAUUCUGUUUGCACUUGUAAAUUAUGGGAAAGUGUAUGAUAAAUCCUUUCAGUGCACAGUUUUGAUUCUAGGUACCAUCACAUCCACUUUAGUAUCUGCCAUCAUGCCCAUACUUUACCUGAAUAAUAUUGGGAAACUAGACCAUUUCAAGCUUGCAUGCAGGUCAUAGUUUAUUUCUUGACUCUCUCCUCUAAAAGGUUUGUUUUAGUUUUUGUAGAUUUAUACUGUUUAGGACCUUCUGGGACUUUCUCAUGUGUCACUGUCAUGUUUCAAUGUAAUUUAUUUUCUUUUGUUAAUAUCAAUGCAAAUGAUGACUAAAGACAGAUCAUCGUUCAUAAUAAUGGCAGUCACGCAGGUGUGCGAGUGUAGACUAUUAGUAUUAACCUAGUGUGGUACAGAUUAUAUAAUACAUAUAUUACUGGGCCACUAAAUAGUUAAAUAUUUUGCCUAUAUUAUGACAAAAAAUAUAAUCACAGUUAUAACUUUCAUUACCAAAUAGAGCAGAGUCCAGAUUGCAUUGCCUGCAUGGGACCAUUAAAAGUGAAAGAAACUCUAAUAAACUUCUAUGUUUACA